This 624-nucleotide ribosomal RNA is filed under the name uncultured bacterium. Its description in RNAcentral is "bacterial SSU rRNA". It matches the Rfam family "Bacterial small subunit ribosomal RNA", at positions 338 to 951 of the family's 1533-position model. The record is from RNAcentral.
CCUACGGGAGGCAGCAGUAGGGAAUCUUCCGCAAUGGACGAAAGUCUGACGGAGCAACGCCGCGUGAACGAUGAAGGCCUUCGGGUCGUAAAGUUCUGUUGUUAGGGAAGAACAAGUGCUAGUUAAAUAAGCUGGCACCUUGACGGUACCUAACCAGAAAGCCACGGCUAACUACGUGCCAGCAGCCGCGGUAAUACGUAGGUGGCAAGCGUUGUCCGGAAUUAUUGGGCGUAAAGCGCGCGCAGGCGGUUUCUUAAGUCUGAUGUGAAAGCCCCCGGCUCAACCGGGGAGGUCAUUGGAAACUGGGAAACUUGAGUGCAGAAGAGGAAAGUGGAAUUCCAAGUGUAGCGGUGAAAUGCGUAGAGAUUUGGAGGAACACCAGUGGCGAAGGCGACUUUCUGGUCUGUAACUGACGCUGAGGCGCGAAAGCGUGGGGAGCAAACAGGAUUAGAUACCCUGGUAGUCCACGCUGUAAACGAUGAGUGCUAAGUGUUAGAGGGUUUUCCGCCCUUUUAGUGCUAGAAGUUAACGCAUUAAGCACUCCGCCUGGGGGAUACGGUCGCAAGACUGAAAACCUCAAAGGAUUGACGGCUGAGAGAGCGACGACGACGACGAGGGAGGAGG